AGCUCAAAUUUGAAAUCUGGCGUAAGCCCGAGUUGUAAUUUGUAGAGGAUGCUUCUGGGUAGCGGCCGGUCUAAGUUCCUUGGAACAGGACGUCAUAGAGGGUGAGAAUCCCGUAUGCGACUGGCUUGCACCCUCCACGUAGCUCCUUCGACGAGUCGAGUUGUUUGGGAAUGCAGCUCUAAAUGGGAGGUAAAUUUCUUCUAAAGCUAAAUACCGGCCAGAGACCGAUAGCGCACAAGUAGAGUGAUCGAAAGAUGAAAAGCACUUUGGAAAGAGAGUUAAAAAGCACGUGAAAUUGUUGAAAGGGAAGCGCCCGCAACCAGACUUUGCGGCGGUGUUCCGCCGGUCUUCUGACCGGUUUAUUCGCCGCCGUGAGGCCAUCAUCGUCUGGGACCGCUGGAUAAGACCUCAGGAAUGUAGCUUCCCUCGGGAAGUGUUAUAGCCUCUGGUGAUGCAGCGCGUCUCGGGCGAGGUCCGCGCUUCGGCAAGGAUGAUGGCGUAAUGGUUGUCGGCGGCCCGUCUUGAAACACGGACCAAGGAGUCUAACAUCUAUGCGAGUGUUCGGGUGUCAAACCCCUACGCGUAAUGAAAGUGAACGGAGGUGGGAACUUUUUGUGCACCAUCGACCGAUCCUGAUGUCCUCGGAUGGAUUUGAGUAAGAGCAUAGCUGUUGGGACCCGAAAGAUGGUGAACUAUGCCUGAAUAGGGUGAAGCCAGAGGAAACUCUGGUGGA
RNAcentral lists this ribosomal RNA (733 nucleotides) under Pseudocercospora sophoricola. RNAcentral describes it as "eukaryotic LSU rRNA". It matches the Rfam family "Eukaryotic large subunit ribosomal RNA", at positions 106 to 871 of the family's 3401-position model. The record is from RNAcentral. Lineage: Eukaryota; Fungi; Ascomycota; Dothideomycetes; Mycosphaerellales; Mycosphaerellaceae.